Molecule: unclassified non-coding RNA, 391 nt
Filed under: soil metagenome
Description: partial contains 5.8S ribosomal RNA, internal transcribed spacer 2, and large subunit ribosomal RNA
Rfam family: 5.8S ribosomal RNA (bases 1-122)
Source: RNAcentral
GAUGAAGAACGCAGCGAAAUGCGAUACUUGGUGUGAAUUGCAGAAUCCCGUGAACCAUCGAGUCUUUGAACGCAAGUUGCGCCCGAAGCCACUAGGCCGAGGGCACGCCUGCCUGGGCGUCACACGUCGUUGCCCCCCCAUCUACUCCUUCGGGAUUGCGGGGGGGCGGAUGAUGGCCUCCCGUGCGCCUAGCCGCGCGGUUGGCAUAAAUACCAAGUCCUCGGCGACGCACGCCACGACAAUCGGUGGUUGCGAAACCUCGGUUGCCCGUCGUGUGCGUUCGUCGCGCAUCGAGGGCUCGAAAAAAUGCUCGGCUUCGGCUCGGCUUUCAACGCGACCCCAGGUCAGGCGGGGUUACCCACUGAAUUUAAGCAUAUCAAUAAGCGGAGGA